This 426-nucleotide ribosomal RNA is filed under the name uncultured Paenibacillus sp. RNAcentral's name for it is "bacterial SSU rRNA". It matches the Rfam family "Bacterial small subunit ribosomal RNA", at positions 355 to 774 of the family's 1533-position model. RNAcentral also lists the same sequence under 1 other name. The record is from RNAcentral. Lineage: Bacteria; Bacillati; Bacillota; Bacilli; Caryophanales; Paenibacillaceae.
UAGGGAAUCUUCCGCAAUGGACGCAAGUCUGACGGAGCAACGCCGCGUGAGUGAUGAAGGUUCUCGGAUCGUAAAGCUCUGUUGCCCUAGACGAACAGCAGGGGUAGUAACUGACCUCUGUGUGACGGUAUAGGAGAAGAAAGCCCCGGCUAACUACGUGCCAGCAGCCGCGGUAAUACGUAGGGGGCAAGCGUUGUCCGGAAUUAUUGGGCGUAAAGCGCGCGCAGGCGGUUGGUUAAGUUUGGUGUUUAAGCCCGAGGCUCAACCUCGGUUCGCAUCGAAAACUGGCCAACUUGAGUGUAGGAGAGGAAAGUGGAAUUCCACGUGUAGCGGUGAAAUGCGUAGAGAUGUGGAGGAACACCAGUGGCGAAGGCGACUUUCUGGCCUAUAACUGACGCUGAGGCGCGAAAGCGUGGGGAGCAAACA